UCUCUCUAGAGACUCUUGUGUACCUGAGGCCUUCUGAAGAAACUGGGAGUGGACAGAACCAGGACAGCUGACCGAAAUUGGACGAAGUGAUAUCCUAUACCUUAAGGCAACAUGCAGAGCUAUAAAACUGGAGGAAGUUGGCUGGGGGCAGCUGCUGCUCAGAGACUGGCUGUACGUCAAUCAGCAGGACAAAGCGGAUUUCUACGUGAAACAACCGUGCUGUUCUUGUUUGCCUAUUUUUCAUACCAUAAAAAGAAAAGUAAUUAGAAUUAGAUGAAGAGCUGAACAGACUAUGAGUUUCUUGCUGACAAGAACUUGGAAUAAGUAGCUGUAAGAUUGAAAACUGAAUAUUGUGGAAAUAGUGGAAAAACGAAACUCCAUAGUCUCAACAUACACUCUCAAAAUUUCAAUAAAUUUAAGAAAUAAAGACACUUGAAUUGCCAUACAUCAGUAUGCCUGCAAGCUAUUCGGAACUGCUGGCAGGCAUAUUAACGUUCGUUAUCUUCCAGGUUAUAAUCGAAGAACAAACUGGGGCUUACUACAUUAACCUGAGAGAGAGCAUAUUGACUGUGGAGAUUUAGGACAAUUACAAGGUGUUUAAAACAUUAGGAACGUCAUAUUGAAGCUUUCAUUAUUAAAGUGGGGUUGUAAUGAGAUAUCCCAGCUCACAGCUACAAAAUUGCAUUUUAAUGUAAAAUCAUGUUAAAUAGACACUACUUCUCAAGAGAGAAGCCUGAGGAAAGAAAACAAUUUACUGUGUUGUACUGCAUACAUGCUAAGAAAUUAGAAAAUCCUGAAGACGUGGAGCUGAUGAACUAACUUUACAUCUGUCAAAAACAUAUUCUGGUUGAAAAUAAUGUUUCCUUACUUUAUAAAAUAGUUAUUAUGGCUUACUUUUUCUAAUAAUUUGUUUGCAAACUAUUGUGUGUUUCACGACCUGUGUAUGUAUGUAACCUCUUGACCAGAGUACAAGGGUUGUGCUGUUACUUCUGAGUGAGAUACAAUGAAGUGGUCAGGCAGUUCAUUGGCAGCAUGAAGUGAAAGAUUACUAAGUGAUUAUUUUUGUUAUGUAAUGUUCAGACUGUGUUAUAUCUAGCUCAGUAAAUGCUCUGUAGAAGGUGAUUAAAUUAGUUUCUGUUGAUCUCUUCCGUCUUGAAUUGUGCGUGAGGUCAUAACUGCACUUGAAGUGAAAGCAUCUCCCAUAACACCAAGGGCUAAAUACUGGACCCAGCUCUGAUUUCACACUAGAGCUGCAUGCUUCACCUGUACUGGACAGAAUUAUGUUCUAGAAGUUCAGAAAACAAACUGUGUUUACCACACAAUGUUCAUCAGGUACUGAGAAAUCUGUUCUUCCCCAGAAAGAGAUAAAAAGAGCUGCAGAGAAGGACAAAUGAUACCCUGAUAACCACGAAUGCACACUGUCAGUGUCACCUCCUUCCAGGUAGAUGGGAGAGUCAGGAAUUUUGUCCCAUGGUAAAGGCUGUUCACAGAAACAGGAGGAUUUUACUUAUGCAUGUUUCUUGGAAGCACCUUGAAGAAAAGACUUGUCACUUGAAAGAGGCAGUGGCCACGUGGAAGAGUCAGAAUCAGUUUUCAUUUGCAACAUCUGGGAGUUUUUAUUUCAUAAAUAUUAUCUUCAAAAAAAAUCACAGAACAGUCAAAGGUGGAAGGGACCUAGGAGCCAUCAGGCCCAACCCUGGCUCCAGCAGGGACGCCCAGGACUGUAUCUGCGUGGCUACUGAAGGUCUCCAAGGAAGAGACUUUACAGCCUCUUUGAGCAACCUGUGCCAGCGCUCUGUCACCUGGAUAGGGAAAUUUAGCUGCAGUAUAUCUAUCCUAAGCAGAUGCUCUGGGGAAAAAUUUAAUAUAGGAGUUGGAAGUCAAAAAUAUACCUCAGAGAAAUACAAGCUACUCAUUUUAAGUACAUCCUGGUGAGCUGUUAACAAAUGCUGUGUGUCCCAAACUGAUGCAAUAACAAGCAACACUGCCAAAUGCUCUGAAUGACAGUCAUUUUUUGUAUGUUUAAACAAGGCUCAAAAUAACUGUAUUGCCCUGUAUUGUCAGUAUUUUAUUUAAUUAUCUGUAACAUAAAAGAAUAGCUUGGUUUAUUUUGGAUUACACUGAUUAGGAGACUACCAUGAAACACCACUUGGAAUAAUACAUCAUUACUUAAAAUGCAUACAGUUUGUUGUUUAUGUUAAUUUUAAGAGACCUUUAUAUUUUAGCAAAACAAUUUAUAAAUGUGUUGUGCAAAUAAUGCAAUUGUUUAAAUAUAUGUCAAUAAAGCCAAAUCUGGGACUGUGCAAAUAAACUGUCAAGGAAAAGAAUGUUUACAAUUUUCCUUACAUAAGAA
Numida meleagris (helmeted guineafowl) is the source of this 2353-nucleotide long non-coding RNA. RefSeq lists it as uncharacterized. The record is from RefSeq and is a predicted model, not a curated record. The transcript is spliced from 3 exons. NCBI's taxonomy places the organism in Eukaryota, Metazoa, Chordata, Aves, Galliformes, Numididae.